UUUAAAUCUAAUAUAUUAAAAUAUAUUUUAAUGGGGGUUAAAGUAUAAUUAAUAGAAAAAAUUUAAAUUUUUAUAGUGAAUUAAGUAUUGUAAAAGAAUUUUGAAAUAAAAAUAUAAAUUAUUAAAAAGUAGUUUUUAUUUAAUGUAUCUUGUGUAUCAGAGUUUAUUAAAAAAAAUUUUUUGAUAAAUAAAUUCUCGAAUUUAAGAGAGAUAAUUAAUUAUAAAAGUUAUUGUUACAUAAAUAUUUUAAAUAAUUAAUUGGAAAUGAAAUGUUAAAUCGUUCUUAAAUAUAUCUAGUUUUUUUAGAAAAAAAUUUAAUUUUAAAUUUAUUUUUAAUUAUUAAUUAAUUAUUUAAUUAAUAAUUUAUUUAAUAAAUUUUAUAUUUUAGGGGAUAAUCUUUAAUUUAAAUAAAUAUAAUUUACAAUCAAAUUUUUAUGAAAAUUAUAUAAUUUAUAUUGUUAAAAAAUUUUAAUUUAUUAUAAAUAAUUUCAUUUAAAGUAAAAUUUAAUUAAAAAUUUAUUUUUUUAUAAAAAAAUAAAUUUUAAUUUUAAAAAUUUAGUUAUAAUGAUAAAAUUAGUAUAUAAAAAUUUUAUUAAUUAAAGUAAUUUUAUUAAGUUAAUUAAUUAAAAGGAAUUCGGCAAAAAUUUAUAUUCACUUGUUUAACAAAAACAUGUCUUUUUGAAAAUAAUAUAAAGUCUAAUCUGCCCACUGAUUUUUAAAUUAAAGGGCUGCAGUAUAUUGACUGUACAAAGGUAGCAUAAUCAUUAGUCAUUUAAUUGAUGACUUGUAUGAAAGAUUGGAUGAAAUAUAAACUGUCUCUUAAUUAAAUUAUAUAAUUUAAUUUUUUAAUUAAAAAGUUAAAAUAAAUUAAAAAGACGAGAAGACCCUAUAGAGUUUUAUAAUUUUAUAAUUAAAAUUAUUUUUAAAAUUUAGAAUUUUAAUUAAAAAAAUUAUUUUGUUGGGGUGACAGAAAAAUUAAAAUAACUUUUUUUAAAAAUUAACAUUUAUAAGUGAUUAAAUGAUCCAGUUUUACUGAUUAUAAGAAAAAAUUACCUUAGGGAUAACAGCGUAAUUUUUUUUUUUAGUUCAAAUAAAAAAAAAAGUUUGCGACCUCGAUGUUGGAUUAAGAUAAAAUUUAAAUGCAGAAGUUUAAAAUUUUGAUCUGUUCGAUCAUUAAAAUCUUACAUGAUCUGAGUUCAAACCGGUGUAAGCCAGGUUGGUUUCUAUCUUUUAAUAAAAAAAAAUAUUUUAGUACGAAAGGAUCAAAUAUUUAAAUUAAAUUUUUAUUAAUGAAUUUUAUUAAU
RNAcentral lists this ribosomal RNA (1304 nucleotides) under Sphingomorpha chlorea. Its description in RNAcentral is "16S ribosomal RNA". The record is from RNAcentral. Lineage: Eukaryota; Metazoa; Arthropoda; Insecta; Lepidoptera; Erebidae.